AAGAAGAAGAAGCAGCAGAAGCAGAAGCAGAAGCAGGAAGAGCAAGAAAAGUUCUUCCUCCCCUUCACUUUUCUGCCUAAAGUCCUACCUUCUAUGUCCCCCAGAGGAAUUUAGCAGUCCAUCGCCUUAACCACUCGGCCACCUCAUCCCACUACCCAGAGGAAUUUAGAAUCGUUUGGGAGCACCUUCUUACGGCCUUGCACUAGCACUCUACGAAAUGGGCAUUAUUAAUACCUACAUUUUACACAUAAAAAGGUAAGACUUUCAGAGACAAAUAUGUAACUUCUUUAUGGGUACACAUCU
Suricata suricatta (meerkat) is the source of this 303-nucleotide long non-coding RNA. RefSeq lists it as uncharacterized. The record is from RefSeq and is a predicted model, not a curated record. NCBI's taxonomy places the organism in Eukaryota, Metazoa, Chordata, Mammalia, Carnivora, Herpestidae. The transcript is spliced from 3 exons.